Scylla paramamosain (green mud crab) is the source of this 1048-nucleotide long non-coding RNA. RefSeq lists it as uncharacterized. Lineage: Eukaryota; Metazoa; Arthropoda; Malacostraca; Decapoda; Portunidae. The record is from RefSeq and is a predicted model, not a curated record. The transcript has 2 exons.
UAUGGAAGUGUUAUGGAAGUAAUGAUGGAAGAACAAACAAAUGUAUGCUAAAUAACAUGUUCUGUGUUAUGAGAGUUGGUGUGAACUAGUGUAAUAAGUUAGUAGUAUCUUAAGUUCCGGUGGUAUGAAGGUUAAGUAAAUGAGGGGAGUGUAAUCGCCAGCUGUGCCGCCUCACAAGGUCCUGUGAGGCUGGCGGUGAGAGAUUAAUAUGAGGCUUGUAAAACACCAAAGAAACUAAGUUAAUUAGAAUAGAGAUUAAGGAAACUGAAUUCAUUACAGCAGUUAAUUGCAGUAGUGAAGCUGUGUGAGAAGGACUAGCUGUGGAGAGCUUAGCUGUAGAGAGGUAGUGAGGGUCGUGCUUGUGGUAAAGUUGAUGACAUGGCGUGUAGGGUAGAUAAGAUACAUGGGUCACCCAGGAACUAUCGCUGAAUUAAGGGUAAGACGGGCAGGCGUGAGGUGCCGAGGGCCAGCAGGAACGAAGCCCGGAGGGACAGAUUCCUUUGCACCGCCACCGAGUUAGGGUGUGACUACUCCAGGAAAGAUCGGACCUCUACAAUACAGACGCAGGUGUUGCUUGGUGACAGGCCUCCUUAAGACCACAAACACGUUUGACCGAAUGCAAUAAACGAUUCACGUCACCGUGUGGGUCUAAAAUCCUUUAGCUGCCUUCGAGCAGCUACACACACACAAUUCUAGAAGGUAAUCGCAGUGUCGCUGCUGCCCCAUCCCGCCCCUGCCCAGGACCCUCCCCUACCACCAACCAUCACGCCAAGCGUCAAGCCGCCGCGAUGGUUGCGGCGAGUGACAUGUUGCUAUAAAUGAUUCUGUGUUUUCAAUAUGUGGAGUUUCAUCUGCAUUCUGAUCACAUUAUCAUGUUCACGAGAGUUUUUCCUCUGUAAUGCAAUAAUAUAUUUCGGCAUUCAGUGAUUAACUGUUGAAGAUAGCGAGCAUAUGUAAAACAUGUUAUAAACUUUUUUUUUUUUUACAUCUUCACAGUUCAACUCGUCGUAAUACCAUUUUCCUUUUCGUUUUGUCAUUUUUUCUACAA